AUGUCAAGUAACAUUCCAAGAGUCGAGGAGUUUUUCCUAGAGUUUUUAAAGGUUCAUGAUACAUCAGGAUUAGGGCUUUUUAAUGUGUUGAUGGAUACAUUGGACUCUCUUGAUCUGGACGUUGCUGAUGUAAGAGGGCAAGGUUAUGACAAUGGUUCUAACAUGAAGGGAAAAAAUCAAGGUGUUCAGAAUCGCUUGCUUGAAGUUAAUCCCAAAGCAUUAUAUAUGCCAUGUGCAUGUCAUAGUUUGAAUCUCACUCUUUGUGAUAUGGCAAAAUCUUGCGAACAGUGGAAGAUUUUGCUUGAUAAUGUUCCAGGUCUGACUCUCAAACCUUUGUCUGAUACUCGUUGGGAGAGCCGAAUAAAGAGUGUGCAACCUAUAAGGUACCAAACUUCCCAAGUAAGAUCAGCUUUGAAGGAGUUGGAGAAGACUGCUAGGGAGGAUAAUGAUCCAGCUACAUUUUCUAUUAAUAUGGUGAGCAAAAUGUUACAAGAAAAAAUGGUGUGCAUUGAUGCUACUCUAAAACACAUUGAUGGGGUCAAGUCAUAUUUUCAGAAGUAUGGAGAUGAAGGCUUCAAUUCUAGUAUUGAAAGUGCCAAGCCAUUGCGUUGGAUAUGGGCAUAG
Molecule: ribosomal RNA, 624 nt
Filed under: Triticum aestivum (bread wheat)
Lineage: Eukaryota; Viridiplantae; Streptophyta; Magnoliopsida; Poales; Poaceae
Description: partial small subunit ribosomal RNA
Source: RNAcentral